Molecule: ribosomal RNA, 926 nt
Filed under: uncultured bacterium
Lineage: Bacteria
Description: bacterial SSU rRNA
Rfam family: Bacterial small subunit ribosomal RNA
Source: RNAcentral
AGAGUUUGAUCCUGGCUCAGGACGAACGCUGGCGGCGUGCCUAAUACAUGCAAGUCGAGCGAAUCACUGGGAGCUUGCUCCCGGUGGUUAGCGGCGGACGGGUGAGUAACACGUGGGCAACCUGCCUGUAAGACUGGGAUAACAUCGGGAAACCGAUGCUAAUACCGGAUAACCCUUUCCCUCUCAUGAGGGGAAGUUGAAAGUCGGUUUCGGCUGACACUUACAGAUGGGCCCGCGGCGCAUUAGCUAGUUGGUGAGGUAACGGCUCACCAAGGCGACGAUGCGUAGCCGACCUGAGAGGGUGAUCGGCCACACUGGGACUGAGACACGGCCCAGACUCCUACGGGAGGCAGCAGUAGGGAAUCUUCCACAAUGGACGAAAGUCUGAUGGAGCAACGCCGCGUGAGCGAUGAAGGCCUUCGGGUCGUAAAGCUCUGUUGUUAGGGAAGAACAAGUACCGGAGUAACUGCCGGUACCUUGACGGUACCUAACCAGAAAGCCACGGCUAACUACGUGCCAGCAGCCGCGGUAAUACGUAGGUGGCAAGCGUUGUCCGGAAUUAUUGGGCGUAAAGCGCGCGCAGGCGGUCCUUUAAGUCUGAUGUGAAAGCCCACGGCUCAACCGUGGAGGGUCAUUGGAAACUGGGGGACUUGAGUGCAGAAGAGGAAAGCGGAAUUCCACGUGUAGCGGUGAAAUGCGUAGAGAUGUGGAGGAACACCAGUGGCGAAGGCGGCUUUCUGGUCUGUAACUGACGCUGAGGCGCGAAAGCGUGGGGAGCAAACAGGAUUAGAUACCCUGGUAGUCCACGCCGUAAACGAUGAGUGCUAAGUGUUAGAGGGUUUCCGCCCUUUAGUGCUGCAGCUAACGCAUUAAGCACUCCGCCUGGGGAGUACGGCCGCAAGGCUGAAACUCAAAGGAAUUGACGG